CACGUAGGGCGCGAGCGUUGUCCGGAAUUAUUGGGCGUAAAGAGCUCGUAGGCGGCCUGUUGCGUCCGCUGUGAAAGCCCGGGGCUUAACCCCGGGUCGGCAGUGGAUACGGGCAGGCUAGAGGUAGGUAGGGGAGAAUGGAAUUCCCGGUGUAGCGGUGAAAUGCGCAGAUAUCGGGAGGAACACCGAUGGCGAAGGCAGGUCUCUGGGCCACUACUGACGCUGAGAAGCGAAAGCAUGGGGAGCGAACAGG
This 253-nucleotide ribosomal RNA is filed under the name uncultured bacterium. Its description in RNAcentral is "partial 16S ribosomal RNA". It matches the Rfam family "Bacterial small subunit ribosomal RNA", at positions 524 to 776 of the family's 1533-position model. The record is from RNAcentral.